AAACAUGUCUUUUUGAUUAAUAAUAUAAAGUCUGAUCUGCUCCAUGAAUUUAUUUAAAUAGCUGCAGUAUUUUAACUGUACAAAGGUAGCAUAAUCAAUAGUUUUUUAAUUGAAAGCUGGAAUGAAUGAUUUGAUAAGGUAAAUACUGUCUCAAUUUUAAAGGUAUUAAAAAUUUUUUUUUAGUUAAAAAACUAAAAUGAUUUUAAAAGACGAGAAGACCCUAUAGAUUUUUAUAUUUAAAAUUUAAUUGAUUUAAAUAAAGAAAAUUUUUAAAUUUAAGAAUAUUUAGUUGGGGAAAUUGUUAAAUUAAAAUAAUUUUAAUAUUUAAAAAACAAAAAUUUUUGAAUUUAUGAUCUUAAUAUAUAGAUAAUUAGAAUAAAAUACCUUAGGGAUAACAGCGUAAUUUUUUUAGAUAGAUCUUAUAAAUAAAAAAGUUUGCGACCUCGAUGUUGAAUUAAGAUAAAAUUUUAAAGCAGUAUUUAAAAAUUUUUGGUCUGUUCGACCAUUAAAAUCUUACGUGAUCUGA
Molecule: ribosomal RNA, 526 nt
Filed under: Arthula sp. BFS-2018
Lineage: Eukaryota; Metazoa; Arthropoda; Insecta; Hymenoptera; Ichneumonidae
Description: partial 16S large subunit ribosomal RNA
Rfam family: Archaeal large subunit ribosomal RNA (bases 391-526)
Source: RNAcentral